AACGAACGCUGGCGGCGGGCCUAACACAUGCAAGUCGAGCGAGAUCUUCGGGUCUAGCGGCGGACGGGUGAGUAACGCGUGGGAAUAUGCCUCUUGGUACGGAAUAGCCUCGGGAAACUGGGAGUAAUACCGUAUGUGCCCUUUGGGGGAAAGAUUUAUCGCCAAGAGAUUAGCCCGCGUUGGAUUAGGUAGUUGGUGGGGUAAUGGCCUACCAAGCCGACGAUCCAUAGCUGGUUUGAGAGGAUGAUCAGCCACACUGGGACUGAGACACGGCCCAGACUCCUACGGGAGGCAGCAGUGGGGAAUCUUAGACAAUGGGGGCAACCCUGAUCUAGCCAUGCCGCGUGAGUGAUGAAGGCCUUAGGGUUGUAAAGCUCUUUCAGCUGGGAAGAUAAUGACGGGACCAGCAGAAGAAGCCCCGGCUAACUCCGU
This 432-nucleotide ribosomal RNA is filed under the name uncultured bacterium. RNAcentral's name for it is "partial 16S ribosomal RNA". It matches the Rfam family "Bacterial small subunit ribosomal RNA", at positions 29 to 506 of the family's 1533-position model. The record is from RNAcentral.